AGAGUUUGAUCCUGGCUCAGAUUGAACGCUGGCGGCAUGCCUUACACAUGCAAGUCGAACGGUAACAGGUCUUCGGAUGCUGACGAGUGGCGAACGGGUGAGUAAUACAUCGGAACGUGCCCGAUCGUGGGGGAUAACGGAGCGAAAGCUUUGCUAAUACCGCAUACGAUCUACGGAUGAAAGCGGGGGAUCUUCGGACCUCGCGCGGACGGAGCGGCCGAUGGCAGAUUAGGUAGUUGGUGGGAUAAAAGCUUACCAAGCCGACGAUCUGUAGCUGGUCUGAGAGGAUGAUCAGCCACACUGGGACUGAGACACGGCCCAGACUCCUACGGGAGGCAGCAGUGGGGAAUUUUGGACAAUGGGGGCAACCCUGAUCCAGCCAUGCCGCGUGCAGGAUGAAGGCCUUCGGGUUGUAAACUGCUUUUGUACGGAACGAAAAGACUCUGGUUAAUACCUGGGGUCCAUGACGGUACCGUAAGAAUAAGCACCGGCUAACUACGUGCCAGCAGCCGCGGUAAUACGUAGGGUGCAAGCGUUAAUCGGAAUUACUGGGCGUAAAGCGUGCGCAGGCGGUGAUGUAAGACAGAGGUGAAAUCCCCGGGCUCAACCUGGGAACUGCCUUUGUGACUGCAUCGCUGGAGUGCGGCAGAGGGGGAUGGAAUUCCGCGUGUAGCAGUGAAAUGCGUAGAUAUGCGGA
Molecule: ribosomal RNA, 697 nt
Filed under: uncultured bacterium
Lineage: Bacteria
Description: bacterial SSU rRNA
Rfam family: Bacterial small subunit ribosomal RNA
Source: RNAcentral